RNAcentral lists this small nuclear RNA (100 nucleotides) under Echinops telfairi (small Madagascar hedgehog). The record is from RNAcentral. Lineage: Eukaryota; Metazoa; Chordata; Mammalia; Afrosoricida; Tenrecidae.
GUGGGCAGCACACGUGCUAAAGGCGGAACGAUACUGAGAAGUCUAGCAGCAUGGCCCCUGCACACGGAUGACAUGCACAUGUGAAGCGUUCCAUCUUAAA